RNAcentral lists this transfer RNA (73 nucleotides) under Botrytis cinerea T4. RNAcentral describes it as "tRNA-Tyr (GTA) (tRNA-Tyr-GTA-4-1)". It matches the Rfam family "tRNA". Rfam says of the family: Transfer RNA (tRNA) molecules are approximately 80 nucleotides in length. Their secondary structure includes four short double-helical elements and three loops (D, anti-codon, and T loops). The record is from RNAcentral. Lineage: Eukaryota; Fungi; Ascomycota; Leotiomycetes; Helotiales; Sclerotiniaceae.
GCCCGUUUAGCGUAGUGGUUAACGCGCAUCACUGUAAAUGAUGAGAUCCAAGGUUCGAAUCCUUGAUCGGGCU